AUGUUUUUUUCUUUGUUGGCUUUGGCCGAACCCCACUUAGGAAGUGUUUGGCCUAAUUUUUAAAAAGCGCUUUUAGAUUGAAAAGUGAUUUUUGGCAUAAUAGAGCGUUUGGCAACCUCACUUUUAAAAUCUAAUUCUUAGAAUUAGAAAACUGAUUUUGAAAGCCCCAGAAAAAAAAUUGCUUCUUGAAAUCUGAUUCUGAUUUUGAUCUCAAACUUCAAAUUUUUAUUUUAAUUUUAAAUUCAAUAUUAAAAUUUAAAUUUAAUUUUAAAUUUUAAUUUUCAUAUUUAAUUUUGAAUUCUUUAAUCUUGAUUUUUAAUUUUUAAAUUUUGAAAAAU
RNAcentral lists this long non-coding RNA (338 nucleotides) under Ananas comosus (pineapple). RNAcentral's name for it is "long non-coding RNA (ACOM_LNC014006)". Lineage: Eukaryota; Viridiplantae; Streptophyta; Magnoliopsida; Poales; Bromeliaceae. The record is from RNAcentral.